Molecule: ribosomal RNA, 34 nt
Filed under: Scorpidium scorpioides
Lineage: Eukaryota; Viridiplantae; Streptophyta; Bryopsida; Hypnales; Amblystegiaceae
Description: partial 18S ribosomal RNA
Source: RNAcentral
GUGGCGGGUGGGUGAACCUGCGGAAGGAUCAUUG